Molecule: ribosomal RNA, 964 nt
Filed under: Escherichia coli
Lineage: Bacteria; Pseudomonadati; Pseudomonadota; Gammaproteobacteria; Enterobacterales; Enterobacteriaceae
Description: partial 23S ribosomal RNA
Rfam family: Bacterial large subunit ribosomal RNA
Source: RNAcentral
GGGGGAACUGAAACAUCUAAGUACCCCGAGGAAAAGAAAUCAACCGAGAUUCCCCCAGUAGCGGCGAGCGAACGGGGAGGAGCCCAGAGCCUGAAUCAGUGUGUGUGUUAGUGGAAGCGUCUGGAAAGGCGCGCGAUACAGGGUGACAGCCCCGUACACAAAAAUGCACAUAUUGUGAGCUCGAUGAGUAGGGCGGGACACGUGGUAUCCUGUCUGAAUAUGGGGGGACCAUCCUCCAAGGCUAAAUACUCCUGACUGACCGAUAGUGAACCAGUACCGUGAGGGAAAGGCGAAAAGAACCCCGGCGAGGGGAGUGAAAAAGAACCUGAAACCGUGUACGUACAAGCAGUGGGAGCCUCUUAAUGGGGUGACUGCGUACCUUUUGUAUAAUGGGUCAGCGACUUAUAUUCUGUAGCAAGGUUAACCGAAUAGGGGAGCCGAAGGGAAACCGAGUCUUAACUGGGCGUUAAGUUGCAGGGUAUAGACCCGAAACCCGGUGAUCUAGCCAUGGGCAGGUUGAAGGUUGGGUAACACUAACUGGAGGACCGAACCGACUAAUGUUGAAAAAUUAGCGGAUGACUUGUGGCUGGGGGUGAAAGGCCAAUCAAACCGGGAGAUAGCUGGUUCUCCCCGAAAGCUAUUUAGGUAGCGCCUCGUGAAUUCAUCUCCGGGGGUAGAGCACUGUUUCGGCAAGGGGGUCAUCCCGACUUACCAACCCGAUGCAAACUGCGAAUACCGGAGAAUGUUAUCACGGGAGACACACGGCGGGUGCUAACGUCCGUCGUGAAGAGGGAAACAACCCAGACCGCCAGCUAAGGUCCCAAAGUCAUGGUUAAGUGGGAAACGAUGUGGGAAGGCCCAGACAGCCAGGAUGUUGGCUUAGAAGCAGCCAUCAUUUAAAGAAAGCGUAAUAGCUCACUGGUCGAGUCGGCCUGCGCGGAAGAUGUAACGGGGCUAAACCAUG